RNAcentral lists this ribosomal RNA (855 nucleotides) under uncultured Bacteroidota bacterium. Its description in RNAcentral is "bacterial SSU rRNA". It matches the Rfam family "Bacterial small subunit ribosomal RNA", at positions 48 to 895 of the family's 1533-position model. The record is from RNAcentral. Lineage: Bacteria; Pseudomonadati; Bacteroidota.
UUAACACAUGCAAGUCGAGGGGAAACGGCAUUGAGUGCUUGCACUCUUUGGACGUCGACCGGCGCACGGGUGAGUAACGCGUAUCCAACCUUCCCAUUACUGUGGGAUAACCUGCCGAAAGGCAGACUAAUACCGCAUAGUCUUCGAUGACGGCAUCAGAUUUGAAGUAAAGAUUUAUCGGUAAUGGAUGGGGAUGCGUCUGAUUAGCUUGUUGGCGGGGUAACGGCCCACCAAGGCUACGAUCAGUAGGGGUUCUGUGAGGAAGGUCCCCCACAUUGGAACUGAGACACGGUCCAAACUCCUACGGGAGGCAGCAGUGAGGAAUAUUGGUCAAUGGACGGAAGUCUGAACCAGCCAAGUAGCGUGCAGGAUGACGGCCCUAUGGGUUGUAAACUGCUUUUGUAUGGGGAUAAAGUUAGGGACGUGUCCCUAUUUGCAGGUACCAUACGAAUAAGGACCGGCUAAUUCCGUGCCAGCAGCCGCGGUAAUACGGAAGGUCCAGGCGUUAUCCGGAUUUAUUGGGUUUAAAGGGAGCGUAGGCUGGAGAUUAAGUGUGUUGUGAAAUGUAGACGCUCAACGUCUGAAUUGCAGCGCAUACUGGUUUCCUUGAGUACGCACAACGUUGGCGGAAUUCGUCGUGUAGCGGUGAAAUGCUUAGAUAUGACGAAGAACUCCGAUUGCGAAGGCAGCUGACGGGAGCGCAACUGACGCUUAAGCUCGAAGGUGCGGGUAUCAAACAGGAUUAGAUACCCUGGUAGUCCGCACAGUAAACGAUGGAUGCCCGCUGUUGGUACCUGGUAUCAGCGGCUAAGCGAAAGCAUUAAGCAUCCCACCUGGGAGUACGCCGGCAACGGU